This 456-nucleotide ribosomal RNA is filed under the name Methylobacterium tarhaniae. RNAcentral describes it as "bacterial SSU rRNA". It matches the Rfam family "Bacterial small subunit ribosomal RNA", at positions 415 to 889 of the family's 1533-position model. The record is from RNAcentral. Lineage: Bacteria; Pseudomonadati; Pseudomonadota; Alphaproteobacteria; Hyphomicrobiales; Methylobacteriaceae.
CCUUAGGGUUGUAAAGCUCUUUUCUCCGGGACGAUAAUGACGGUACCGGAGGAAUAAGCCCCGGCUAACUUCGUGCCAGCAGCCGCGGUAAUACGAAGGGGGCUAGCGUUGCUCGGAAUCACUGGGCGUAAAGGGCGCGUAGGCGGCUGAUUUAGUCGAGGGUGAAAGCCCGUGGCUCAACCACGGAAUGGCCUUCGAUACUGGUUGGCUUGAGACCGGAAGAGGACAGCGGAACUGCGAGUGUAGAGGUGAAAUUCGUAGAUAUUCGCAAGAACACCAGUGGCGAAGGCGGCUGUCUGGUCCGGUUCUGACGCUGAGGCGCGAAAGCGUGGGGAGCAAACAGGAUUAGAUACCCUGGUAGUCCACGCUGUAAACGAUGAAUGCUAGCCGUUGGGGUGCAUGCACCUCAGUGGCGCCGCUAACGCAUUAAGCAUUCCGCCUGGGGAGUACGGUCGC